This 501-nucleotide ribosomal RNA is filed under the name uncultured bacterium. Its description in RNAcentral is "bacterial SSU rRNA". It matches the Rfam family "Bacterial small subunit ribosomal RNA", at positions 28 to 525 of the family's 1533-position model. The record is from RNAcentral.
GAUGAACGCUGGCGGCGUGCUUAACACAUGCAAGUCGAACGAAGCUCCCGAACCUGAGAUUCGGGGUCAAGGGGGAAGGAUGACUUAGUGGCGGACGGGUGAGUAAUGCGUGAGCAACCUGCCCUUCAGAGGGGGACAACAGUUGGAAACGACUGCUAAUACCGCAUAAUGUAUUCGGAUGGCAUCAUUUGAAUACCAAAGAUUUAUCGCUGAAGGAUGGGCUCACGUCUGAUUAGCUAGUUGGUGAGGUAAUGGCUCACCAAGGCUUCGAUCAGUAGCCGGACUGAGAGGUUGGCCGGCCACAUUGGGACUGAGAUACGGCCCAGACUCCUACGGGAGGCAGCAGUGGGGAAUAUUGGGCAAUGGGCGCAAGCCUGACCCAGCAACGCCGCGUGAAGGAAGAAGGCUUUCGGGUUGUAAACUUCUUUUGGCAGGGACGAAAAAAUGACGGUACCUGCAGAAUAAGCUCCGGCUAACUACGUGCCAGCAGCCGCGGUAAAC